RNAcentral lists this ribosomal RNA (442 nucleotides) under uncultured bacterium. RNAcentral describes it as "partial 16S ribosomal RNA". It matches the Rfam family "Bacterial small subunit ribosomal RNA", at positions 338 to 795 of the family's 1533-position model. The record is from RNAcentral.
CCUACGGGGGGCAGCAGUAGGGAAUCUUUCACAAUGGGCGAAAGCCUGAUGGAGCAACGCCGCGUGCAGGAUGAAGGCCUUCGGGUUGUAAACUGCUUUUAUAAGCGAGAAAUAUGAUGGUAACUUAUGAAUAAGGAUCGGCUAACUACGUGCCAGCAGCCGCGGUCAUACGUAGGAUCCGAGCAUUAUCCGGAGUGACUGGGUGUAAAGAGUUGCGUAGGUGGCAUAAUAAGUAGCUAGUGGAAUCUGGUGGCUCAACCAUUCAGACUAUUAGCUAAACUGGUAAGCUCGAGACCGUUAGAGGUAACUGGAAUUUCUAGUGUAGGAGUGAAAUCCGUAGAUAUUAGAAAGAACACCAAUAGCGUAGGCAGGUUGCUGGGACGGUUCUGACACUAAGGCACGAAAGCGUAGGGAGCAAACGGGAUUAGAUACCCGUGUAGUC